Molecule: ribosomal RNA, 444 nt
Filed under: Bacillus sp. 860(2010)
Lineage: Bacteria; Bacillati; Bacillota; Bacilli; Caryophanales; Bacillaceae
Description: bacterial SSU rRNA
Rfam family: Bacterial small subunit ribosomal RNA
Source: RNAcentral
GAGCGAUCAAUGGGAGCUUGCUCCCUGAGAUUAGCGGCGGACGGGUGAGUAACACGUGGGCAACCUGCCUAUAAGACUGGGAUAACUUCGGGAAACCGGAGCUAAUACCGGAUACGUUCUUUUCUCGCAUGAGAGAAGAUGGAAAGACGGUUUACGCUGUCACUUAUAGAUGGGCCCGCGGCGCAUUAGCUAGUUGGUGAGGUAAUGGCUCACCAAGGCGACGAUGCGUAGCCGACCUGAGAGGGUGAUCGGCCACACUGGGACUGAGACACGGCCCAGACUCCUACGGGAGGCAGCAGUAGGGAAUCUUCCGCAAUGGACGAAAGUCUGACGGAGCAACGCCGCGUGAACGAAGAAGGCCUUCGGGUCGUAAAGUUCUGUUGUUAGGGAAGAACAAGUACCAGAGUAACUGCUGGUACCUUGACGGUACCUAACCAGAAAGCC